This is a long non-coding RNA of Microtus oregoni (creeping vole), 282 nucleotides long. RefSeq lists it as uncharacterized. The transcript has 3 exons. The record is from RefSeq and is a predicted model, not a curated record. Lineage: Eukaryota; Metazoa; Chordata; Mammalia; Rodentia; Cricetidae.
ACAAGAAGCUGACAUGAGCCCUUGUUUCCAGUAUGUGAGUCAUCAUUGCCACCAAUGGUCUGGGUCAUUGGCUGUGCACACACAUCCACAGACAGUACAACAACAGCCUCUAGUCCCUUGUUGCUGACCUUUGGGAAGCUGGGCAUGUAAGGCCAUACAUGAUCUACAGUGUACUUGUAGAGGUCAGAGGACAACUUGCAGGAGUCAUUUCUCUGCUUCCACAAUGUGAGUCCUGGGGAUCCAACUGAAGUCAUCAGAAGCAGUACUCGGGCUUCUAUUACA